UCCGAGUUGACCCCGGCAGUCUCCCAUGAGUCCCCGGCACUACCCGCUGGCAACACGGGGCAAGGGUUGCGCUCGUUGCGGGACUUAACCCAACAUCUCACGACACGAGCUGACGACAGCCAUGCACCACCUGCACACCAGCCACAAGGGAACGCCCAUCUCUGGACGCGUCUGGUGCAUGUCAAACCCAGGUAAGGUUCUUCGCGUUGCAUCGAAUUAAACCACAUGCUCCACCGCUUGUGCAGGCCCCCGUCAAUUUCUUUGAGUUUUAACCUUGCGGCCGUACUCCCCAGGCGGAUAACUUAAUGCGUUAGCUGCGCCACCAAAAGCCUAAGGCCCCUGACAGCUAGUUAUCAUCGUUUACGGCGUGGACUAC
This 376-nucleotide unclassified non-coding RNA is filed under the name uncultured bacterium. RNAcentral describes it as "contains 16S-23S intergenic spacer region". The record is from RNAcentral.